This is a non-coding RNA of Trichonephila clavipes, 73 nucleotides long. The record is from the annotation of a GenBank genome assembly. NCBI's taxonomy places the organism in Eukaryota, Metazoa, Arthropoda, Arachnida, Araneae, Nephilidae.
GUCCCUGUAGCGCAAAGAAUAACGCGUUGGACUUCUAAUCCAAAGGUCAUGGAUUGGAAUCCCACUUGGGAUG